UAUGGUCAGUUCGAAUAACGAAGUCAGCUGGGAACAGUAAAGGUCUAAAUCGUAAACGACGUGUAGGUCGUGAUGCAGGGCAAUAAUUGAGCAUGUUCGUAAACAGCUUUAUUUAGGAGGCAUUUUCAAAGGUGACCUUGAUAAUUCCAGCAAAUCUCAGAUUCGUCAAAAAUUCAUCGUUGAAAAGCUUUAAAAUAAAAAGCUUCCUAUAAUAACUGACAAGUUAAGAGUAACCUUUGUGAAACCAGGACUCUGCUCAUGCUUCUAACAGGACCAAGAAGACAACAGUCAGUUAGCGAAAAGGACAAGUUUUAGCUGUAGAGGACGAUAAAGUAACAUUUACUAUAAUAAUCUUAACAGAUUUCAAAAUCUAGUAAAUUUGUUAGCGAGACCGUCUACUGAUAUUGCAACGAGUGCUUCAGAUAGUAACCAUCAAUCAUUUGAUCUGCCAGAUGGGGUUAGAAUUAUCAUAGCUGUUGAAUGAACAUCCCGAACUUCGUCAGUACUACCUUGUUGUUGCCCCUUACAAUCCAGCACUUCGCUAACAACAAUGACCUUGUAGUGACAUCAAAUAAAGCACACAAAGUUCUAACUUAAUGUAGAUAGUUUCCUGCAAACAAGUGAACUUGUCCAUUGCAAAUUCAUUUCAAAAUUGAAGAAUCAAGCGUGAUGAAAUACAAAUCAAUCCACAUUCAGCUUACUAUUUAUAAUCGGCUGACUUCAAAGAGAUAAUAGGCAGGUUCUCCUCUAGACGCAUAUGUCAUCACUUUUUCGGUUGGGAUUGUAUGUCGCACACAUCACAAAAA
This is a long non-coding RNA of Varroa destructor (honeybee mite), 806 nucleotides long. RefSeq lists it as uncharacterized. The record is from RefSeq and is a predicted model, not a curated record. NCBI's taxonomy places the organism in Eukaryota, Metazoa, Arthropoda, Arachnida, Mesostigmata, Varroidae.